RNA transcript from Papaver somniferum (opium poppy), 1628 nucleotides. It is a transcript of the gene named ribosomal RNA small subunit methyltransferase, chloroplastic-like, with no coding region annotated. NCBI's taxonomy places the organism in Eukaryota, Viridiplantae, Streptophyta, Magnoliopsida, Ranunculales, Papaveraceae. The record is from RefSeq and is a predicted model, not a curated record. The transcript is spliced from 11 exons.
UUCUCUUGUACCGCGCCCUCAUUGCUCAACUUGUAUGCGGUGAUGAAUCUAAUGAUAAAUUCAGUGGUGUUAUAGACAGUAGACUAGAACAACCCUUCAUCGUUUUUCAGUAAUUUAUACAGUAAGAAUACGGAUUGAAUUUCUGAAGUUUUCAGUCCAAAUGCUUCAAAUUCCAGUAUCUUCUUCUUCAUCUCCAACAUUCCUCUCAUGGUGUUGGAGUUUGAACCCUCCUUCUGCUUCUUCUUCUUCAUUACCUCCUACCUACAGUUUCCCAACAAAUAGUGUCAGCAAAAGAAGAAGGAAGUACCCUUUUCGUGUGAUGAACAGUACUAAAGUUGAAGACGAUUACCAUGCAACUCUCAAAGCUUUGAAUAAAAGAGGUCGUACUCCUAGAAAAUCCCUUGGUCAGCAUUACAUGUUGAAUUCUUCAGUCAACGAUCAACUUGUUAGUGCUGCUGAUGUAAAAGAAGGGGAUGUUGUCCUUGAAAUUGGACCUGGAACUGGUUCUUUAACUAAUGUUCUUUUGAAUUCUGGUGCUACUGUUCUUGCUAUUGAAAAAGAUCCUCACAUGGUUGCACAUUUAAGAGAACGAUUUGGAGGCAUCAGUUCGUUCACGGUUCUUGAAGAGGACUUCACAAAAUGUCACUUUACUUCCCAUUUGAUGACUUUGUUGAAUACACCGGACGAAGAAAACUUCAAACACGCAAAAGUAGUUGCCAACAUACCUUUCAAUAUAAGUACUGAUGUUGUGAAGGAACUUCUUCCAAUGGGUGACAUCUUUUCAGCAGUUGUUCUCUUACUCCAGGAUGAGACAGCUUUGCGAUUAGUAGAUGCAUCAUUGCGAACAUCGGAGUACCGUCCCAUCAAUAUAUUUGUGAACUUCUUCUCUGACCCAGAAUACAAUUUUCAGGUCCUUCGAUCAAAUUUUUUCCCUGAACCCAAUGUAGAUGCAGCAGUUGCCACGUUCAAGCUAAAGCAGACAGCAGACUAUCCACCAGUUGCUUCUACUAAAAGCUUUUUCUCAAUGGUCAAUUCAGCAUUCAAUGGGAAGCGCAAGAUGCUGCGGAGAUCACUUCAACACAUAUGCCCGUCUUUGGAGAUAGAAAAUGCUCUCCAAAGCUUGAGUCUUCCAACUACAUCAAGACCAGGGGAGCUAACUCUGGACGAUUUUGUGAGUCUGCAUAAUUUAAUUGUGAAAGCUUAGAAUUUCUUGGCUGGCUUGGAGUUAUCUGGUUUGCCUGAAGCCUUUAAGUAAUAUUGCACAAGAUCCACGACAAUGUUCAAGCUAGCGAAGGAUGUUAUCAAAACGACUAACUGAAUGACUAAAGAAGCAGGUUUGCAGUCCCUUUCAAGUUUUUUUGUUUACAGUUACACAGACGGCAGCAGGUUCUGCCUGCAUAGUGCCUGACCAGGCUUAUAUCAAGCCAGGUUGGCUUCUACCAGUCCACAGUUAUAGACUCAACCAACCCAGACACCCUAAACCCCAGCUACUUCUUGUUCUAAUCAGGAGUUUGACAAAAUUGCAAGAUUUCGGGUUCAGUUGUAUAUGCUUUCAUAUGCAAAUUUACAAUGCUUAGCAGAAAGGGAACUGUGACUAAUUCUGCCAAAGAGGAUCUUUAGUUAUUGUC